UGGUGGAGUGAUUUGUCUGGUUAAUUCCGUUAACGAACGAGACUUUGACCUACUAAAUAGCAGUCGUUGUUCUUCAAUGUCGCAGCUUCUUAGAGGGACCUUGUGUGAUUAACACAAGGAAGUUCAAGGCAAUAACA
RNAcentral lists this ribosomal RNA (137 nucleotides) under uncultured eukaryote. RNAcentral's name for it is "partial 18S ribosomal RNA". It matches the Rfam family "Eukaryotic small subunit ribosomal RNA", at positions 1299 to 1458 of the family's 1831-position model. The record is from RNAcentral.